RNAcentral lists this long non-coding RNA (1330 nucleotides) under Papio anubis (olive baboon). Its description in RNAcentral is "lncRNA (ENSPANG00000043748.1)". Lineage: Eukaryota; Metazoa; Chordata; Mammalia; Primates; Cercopithecidae. The record is from RNAcentral.
UAAAGAAUGAAGAAUGAUGAAUUCUCUUUAUCACCUUUUUAUAGGUGCGGCAUUCCACGACAACAUGUGACUUGAUGUUCCCCAAAGCGGGAUGCUGCUCAAUCAAAGGCAGGAUUUUUACAAAAGGAUUGAUUUCCCAUUUCCCAAUACACGUGGCUUAUCUUGCAGCCAAUUAUGUGAGCUACCUUCAACCCUUUUCUGGUGCUCUUCAAUGGACAAAGGCCAUAAGAGGCUGGAAAGCAAAAGGACCCAUUAAUGUAACGCAGACAUCAGUCUCCUGGAGUAAACAGGUGAAUGGAGAAGCAUGGAGAGUAGAUGUGGAUGAGUGAAAAAUACAUCACACCAUGUCUUCAAAUUACAUCCAGCAACUUCACAUGCACUAUGAAACCCUUGUUGCCACAAUAGUCCCUCUUUCUUUGAACUACUACAAGAAUAAAGAAAUUUCUAAUCUUUUGUAGAAUAAUUACAUAGACUCUCACUCAUUGCUGUUGUUUCAUAGGUGGCUGAUUUUCCAAUAAUAUUAAAUACUUUUGGAAGGGCUGGGACUACAUCUAAUUUCUUGAAAAGUCUGGUGUUGUGGAAGACCAAGACCCAGACUGUUGAGGUCAGUCUAAUGUAAUGUGAAAUAACUAAGCUCUGUGUACUUCUUUACCAUGAGUAUAUAAAUAAAAUAUCAUUGCAUUUAAGGAAAUUGCUCAAAGCCUCACAGUGAAUAAAGUUGAGAAAACAUGUAGACUUAUUCCAGAUUUUAUGUACUUAGGUUUUAUGGCUUCAUUUGCAAUCAGGACUUCCCUUCCCCUUCCCCUUUCCCUUCCUUCCCUUCCCUUCCUCUUCCUUCUUCUCCUCGUCCUGUUUUUCUCCUCUUUCUUCUUCUUCUUCCUCUUCCCUACCUUCUCUCUCUCUCUUAAAUCUGGACAUUUCUCUCAGACUUGAAAUUAUUUUUGGAAAGGCAAUCUUCACCUUCUACAAGAAUCCAUGUGGGAGAAGUUGAUAUUCUACACGAAUUAGCAGGAAAUAAUAAUAUCCUGCCUUUUAUUUUGAGUCUCCCUACUGUCUCACUCCCUCGAAAUCACCAUAUAAUCAAUCCGAAGCAGCAACAUGCAACAGCAUUAAAAUUAGGGAUGUUUGAAGAGGGAAUUAGCCUACUCACUCAUUAUGCUUGAUUAAUAGAAAAUUAUCCUGCUAACAUUUACCGUGCUAUCCAUUUGUUAUUUGGAAGUGAUUAGCCACAAAUAGCAGUUAAGAGCAAGCCAGUUCUGUGGUUUCAGUCACAGCUUUAAUUACCUCCGUAGUGCCUCUUUCUUCAAACACGCCUUCCUCACUUGAAAAU